RNAcentral lists this ribosomal RNA (496 nucleotides) under uncultured bacterium. RNAcentral's name for it is "partial 16S ribosomal RNA". It matches the Rfam family "Bacterial small subunit ribosomal RNA", at positions 29 to 507 of the family's 1533-position model. The record is from RNAcentral.
AUGAACGCUGGCGGCGUGCCUAAUCCAUGCAAGUCGAGAGAACGGACGAGAAGCUUGCUUCUCUGAUGUUAGCGGCGGACGGGUGAGUAACACGUGGAUAACCUACCUAUAAGACUGGGAUAACUUCGGGAAACCGGAGCUAAAACCGGAUAAUAUUUUGAACCGCAUGGUUCAAAAGUGAAAGAUGGUCUUGCUGUCACUUAUAGAUGGAUCCGCGCUGCAUUAGCUAGUUGGUAAGGUAACGGCUUAUCAAGGCAACGAUGCAUAGCCGACCUGAUAGGGUGAUCGGCCACACUGGAGCGGAGACGCGGACCCGGCUCCUACGGGAGGCAGCAGUAGGGAAUCUUCCGCAAUGGUCGAAAGCCUGACGCAGCAACGCCGCGUGAGUUAUGAAGGUCUUCGGAUCGUAAAACUCUGUUAUUAGGGAAGAACAUAUGUGUAAGUAACUGUGCACAUCUUGACGGUACCUAAUCAGAAAGCCACGGCUAACUACGUG